Molecule: long non-coding RNA, 328 nt
Organism: Lemur catta (Ring-tailed lemur)
Lineage: Eukaryota; Metazoa; Chordata; Mammalia; Primates; Lemuridae
Exons: 4
Source: RefSeq, a predicted model, not a curated record
UCCAUGAGUCGCUGUUCUCGCGACUUUGCUUUCCACCUUCCCGGGCGACUGUGGCAACACCAUGCUUCUGAUUCAGCCCAUCCACUUAGCUGUAAAAAUAAGUUAAUCAGAACUGCCUGGCAUCUUCCUGAACAAGACUUUCAACAGUGCCCGGUAUGUUUCACUUCAUCCAGAAGUUUUCUCCAGCAUCUUCAAAGGACAGUCCAAGAAGGCCUGGAUGGAUCAGUGUUGCUGAGAGUCAAGGCUAUGGAAAAGUUUUGGACCCCCAGUGUCCACUUGAGACAGGCUACUCUGAUGUUAUGAUUGAGUCACACCAGCUUCUUGCUCC